Molecule: transfer RNA, 72 nt
Filed under: Sporisorium reilianum SRZ2
Lineage: Eukaryota; Fungi; Basidiomycota; Ustilaginomycetes; Ustilaginales; Ustilaginaceae
Description: tRNA-Thr (AGT) (tRNA-Thr-AGT-4-1)
Rfam family: tRNA
About the family: Transfer RNA (tRNA) molecules are approximately 80 nucleotides in length.
Source: RNAcentral
GCUUCCUUAGUUCAGCGGUAGAGCACUUCACUAGUAAUGAAGAGGUCAGUCGUUCGAGUCGGCUAGGAGGCA